RNAcentral lists this ribosomal RNA (225 nucleotides) under uncultured bacterium. RNAcentral's name for it is "partial 16S ribosomal RNA". It matches the Rfam family "Bacterial small subunit ribosomal RNA", at positions 309 to 526 of the family's 1533-position model. The record is from RNAcentral.
CACACUGGGACUGAGACACGGCCCAGACUCCUACGGGAGGCAGCAGUGGGGAAUAUUGGACAAUGGGCGAAAGCCUGAUCCAGCAAUGCCGCGUGUGUGAAGAAGGCCUGCGGGUUGUAAAGCACUUUUGGCAGGGAAGAAAAGCUCGGGGCUAAUAACCCCGGGAAUUGACGUCACCUGCAGAAAAAGCACCGGCUAACUCUGUGCCAGCCGCCGCCGUAAAAC